This 75-nucleotide transfer RNA is filed under the name Alishewanella tabrizica. Its description in RNAcentral is "tRNA-Arg". It matches the Rfam family "tRNA". Rfam says of the family: Transfer RNA (tRNA) molecules are approximately 80 nucleotides in length. Their secondary structure includes four short double-helical elements and three loops (D, anti-codon, and T loops). Further hydrogen bonds mediate the characteristic L-shaped molecular structure. tRNAs have two regions of fundamental functional importance: the anti-codon, which is responsible for specific mRNA codon recognition, and the 3' end, to which the tRNAs corresponding amino acid is attached (by aminoacyl-tRNA synthetases). tRNAs cope with the degeneracy of the genetic code in two manners: having more than one tRNA (with a specific anti-codon) for a particular amino acid; and 'wobble' base-pairing, i.e. permitting non-standard base-pairing at the 3rd anti-codon position. Lineage: Bacteria; Pseudomonadati; Pseudomonadota; Gammaproteobacteria; Alteromonadales; Alteromonadaceae. The record is from RNAcentral.
UGCCCUAUAGUUAAAUGGAUAUAACGGCCCCCUCCUAAGGGGCAAUUACAGGUUCGAUUCCUGUUGGGGCAGCCA